This 253-nucleotide ribosomal RNA is filed under the name uncultured bacterium. RNAcentral's name for it is "partial 16S ribosomal RNA". It matches the Rfam family "Bacterial small subunit ribosomal RNA", at positions 524 to 776 of the family's 1533-position model. The record is from RNAcentral.
AACGUAGGAGACGAACGUUAUCCGGAGUUACUGGGCGUAAAGGGCGUGUAGGCGGUUCGUUAAGUCUGGCGUGAAAGCUCUCGGCUAAACCGGGAGAGGUCGUUGGAUACUGGCAAACUAGAGGACGGUAGAGGCGUGUGGAAUUCCGGGUGUAGUGGUGAAAUGCGUAGAGAUCCGGAGGAACACCAGUGGCGAAGGCGACACGCUGGGCCGUACCUGACGCUGAGGAGCGAAAGCGUGGGGAGCGAACAGG